This 465-nucleotide ribosomal RNA is filed under the name uncultured bacterium. RNAcentral's name for it is "partial 16S ribosomal RNA". It matches the Rfam family "Bacterial small subunit ribosomal RNA", at positions 28 to 507 of the family's 1533-position model. The record is from RNAcentral.
GACGAACGCUGGCGGCGUGCUUAACACAUGCAAGUCGAACGGAAAGGCCCUGCUUGCAGGGUACUCGAGUGGCGAACGGGCGAGUAACACGUGGGUGAUCUGCCCUGCACUUCGGGAUAAGCCUGGGAAACUGGGUCUAAUACCGGAUAGGAGCCAUUUUUAGUGUGAUGGUUGGAAAGUUUUUUCGGUGUAGGAUGAGCUCGCGGCCUAUCAGCUUGUUGGUGGGGUAAUGGCCUACCAAGGCGGCGACGGGUAGCCGGCCUGAGAGGGUGGACGGCCACAUUGGGACUGAGAUACGGCCCAGACUCCUACGGGAGUCAGCAGUGGGGAAUAUUGCACAAUGGGCGCAAGCCUGAUGCAGCGACGCCGCGUGGGGGAUGACGGCCUUCGGGUUGUAAACUCCUUUCGCUAGGGACGAAGCUUUUUGUGACGGUACCUAGAUAAGAAGCACCGGCUAACUACGUG